This 1411-nucleotide long non-coding RNA is filed under the name Bos mutus (wild yak). Its description in RNAcentral is "lncRNA (ENSBMUG00000010279.1)". The stretch from base 1135 to 1206 matches the Rfam family "tRNA". The record is from RNAcentral. Lineage: Eukaryota; Metazoa; Chordata; Mammalia; Artiodactyla; Bovidae.
AUGCACUUGCACUCGGCGAACCCCCGUGCUUGGCGAGUUGCUGACUCCAGGCACCAGACCUGCCUGCCACCACUUGUCACUGAAGGUAAUUUGAGACUCGGUGAGGAAAAGAGACAUGCCUGCGGUCAUCCCAGGAAUGUGUUAUCUCAUGCCAUCCUCUCAACAACCUACAGUAUCAGGGAGCUAAAGCACGUGGAUGGGAUAACCUGCUCAGACUCUCACUCAGCUCAUGAGACAUGGAGCCUAGACCCAGAUCAAUGGCACCGUGACCUGAACCAGCCAGCCGCCCAAGUCACCAGGCUGAAACCACCGAGAGCUGGCACGCCAAGGAUGUUUGCUGAGGAGGGGAACACAGAAAUAAAACCUGACUUUAAAAAAGAAACAUGCCCCAUAGGUAUACUAUUUAUAUGAAAAUCAGCUGUGAUUUUAGUAACUGCCCUCCCACCUCACCUCUCCAAGGUGUGCCCUGCCUUCCCACAGGGCGCCUCUACACCCCACACACCCAGUAAUCAUGGCCCUAUCUGCCCCGUCCCCUCCUCUGUUUGCUCUCUGGGGUUUCCCUCGAUUGCAGGGUGAGAGUUUCCAGACGCCCCAGGGGCCUGUCCCCUGCCUGGCCCCAGACUCCCUCUCUCCCUCCCUGACCUGCCCUCGUCCGGGCCCACGGCCCGUGGGGUGGCAGAGGGGCAGGGCAGGGAGUCAGCCCCUUAACUGAGCCAGAGCAGGGCAGAUCCAGGGCCCCUGGCUCCAGAUGCCAGGCCCUGCUCCUCCCAAGUCUCUGUUGAGCCGCAGGACCCUAUUCCCUAGUUCAGACCAAACUCAAGGUCUGCAUGGCACGGUAAUGGGAAUGGGGUUUUGGGAUCAGGCUUGGGGUUCUCUGGCUCCUCCUGGGCUGCCGGCAUCUAGCCAGCUCACCUACCUCCCACCCUCCCCCAGCCUCAGACCCCUCCCUGGCCAAACGGAGCCACACCUGCUGCACCAGUCUGCUGAGGGCCACACCACGAGGCACGGAAAGCACAGGGCUGGCCAUUCUAGCACCGGCGCCGUGUGUGAAACCUGGCAGGGUGAGAAAUUGCAACUGGAGAGCAGCCACUCCAUGCUUCCUGUGCGCGCAUCAAGAAUCAAGCUCCAGGCACUUCCCUGGUGGUCCAGUGGUUAAGACUCUGCACUCCCAAUGCAGGGGCGUGGAUUCGACCCCUGGUCAGUGAACUAAGAUCCAUCAUGCCGCAUGGUGCAGCCUAAAAAAAGAGUGAAAAAUAACACAUAAUCUUUUUUAAAGGUUGUCUUUAAAAAAGAAGAGAGAAAGAAUCAAGCCCAGGGCACCCCCGCCCUGGUUCUGUGAGCCUCUUCCUCUAGUCUCACCCUCCCCCCCUCCAUCAGCUCCCUCAUCCCAGAGUCCCACUGGGCACUUAGG